AUUCAACAGCAUAGUGAAUUGCUCUAAGAGAAAACAAAAAUUUUAAGUUCAUUAGAACACAUUCAUUCUGUGUCAGAAACCUAUGCUGUGUCAACUAUUUAAUCACAAUCCAAAUUUAGAGCUGAAUCCAGCUUGAAUGUUGUGUCCAUACUUGCCCCAACUGUUCAGGGUUCAACCUCUGCGGUCGUAUAAAGCUACGCCCUGCGGAGCAUCUGGUUAUAAGUUUUAAAGAUUAUCAGUCCCUUUACUUAUGUAAUUUAAGAAAAUAAUUAUUGAAACCAAAAAAGUAUAAGGAAUCUGCUUUUACAUGUUUUAUGUGUGCACAUUGAUGCAUAUUAUUUAAAUCUAUAGCUUUUAUUAAAUCUUAAGAAUAAACAACAUAAUUUCUUCAUACUAAAUUGUUCCUAUUGAUAGACAUGCAUGUAUACAUGUACAUGUAUGGCAAUAAGGAAACAUACCAACUUUAUAUGUGGUAAAUAAUUAUCCACUCCUUUGACAUGUUUGAAAUGUAAAAAUGAAGUAGAUUUAAGAUGUGGUGUCAGUUGAGAUCUGUUCACUCUUUACAGUUCAUUUAAAUAAUAAACAACUGUCAAUAGUGGAAUAGUAUUGUACCUGACAUAGUGAAAUGAUAAACAAAUAUUUAUUUUAUAAUUAAAACCAAUAUAGAAAUAAAGGUUUAUAUUAUUAUUAAAAGUCAUGUCAUUCUAAACUAACUAAAAUGAAAUACUAAAAACUAAAAUAAUUAACCUGUAUCUUGAAAUCUUAUUACAUUUUAUAGAAUUAUCAUAAACUUGUUAUUGAUGCAAACUAAGUUAUGAUGUUCGUGGUGUAUUUUUACAAAUAAUUUUAUGUACAUAAAAUGUAUGGGUGUUUUUUAAGUUUGAAUGUGAUGUAUUUGGAAUGCUGCAUUAUGUAUUAUGUAUUAAUUAUGAUGAAGUUGAAGUUUUAAAAAAUAUUCAAGGUGCAAUUAUAGAAUUAAUUUUUAUUUUGAAAAGGAAAUAGUCACUAUGAGGCUAAAAAUGUGAUAUUCAUGUACCCAUGGAAGGAAAUUUAUAUGAUUUGUAAAGGAGAAGUUUUCUGUCCCUAUAUCAGGGGCUAAUCAAGGUUUUUUGAAAGAGGUAAAAGUCCAUAAAAUGUAUUAUAUUUUAGAUUUUAUGCUAAAUAAUCUUAUAAACAUUCAUAUGAAAAAACCAUUGGUGCCCUCUACACCCUCUGUAUCAACCAGUAUCAAUAGUUGCUUCAGGAAUACUAAAAUGCAGAGGCGGAUUUAGGCCCCCCCCCCCUUUUUUGGGAAAAAAGUUGGUUGCUUACAUAGGGAAUCACUGAAGCGUGACUGGAGCGGGCCCCCACUUAUGAAAAUUUCUAGAUCUGCCAGUGAAAUGUGUGGUAUUACCCCCAUCUAUAUACCUAGUAAGCAGAUUGUUUAUUUACAAAUAGUUGGGACAUUUUAAAUGCAUUUUCUUUUGACUGACCUUAGCGUGAGAUAAAUAGACUGUUGAACAACUACAUAUUAAAUGAAGAUAGUUGUAUAGAAAUAAAGUGGUGAAUGAGAAAGUCUAAAAAUGAAUGAUUUUACCUGUGCCUUUUGAAGAUGAUUUCAAAACAAUCAUAUGAAAUAUGUUAUUGACCAUAAUUUCUAGUUUUGAAUGUACUCUUUUGAUGCUUAGCUCAAGUACAUUUUCUGUAUAAUUAUGUAGUUAAUUUAAUGUGAACUCAAUUGAAAGUCAUAAGACGAGUUAAAUGCACAUACAAAUAAAUGUAAAUAUUAAAUAGAUAUACAAUUACUGUAAAUUCAGAAACUAUUGCAAUGUUUAAUUAUUGUGAAAGAUGCGACACGGUCAUAAUUGCAAAAAUUUAACUCACAUUUUUAUGCCCCACCUACGAUAGUAGAGGGGCAUUAUGUUUUCUGGUCUGUGCCUCCGUUCGUCCGUCCGUCCGUUCAGGUUAAAGUUUUUGGUCAAGGUAGUUUUUGAUGAAGCUGAAGUCCAAUCAACUUGAAACUUAGUACACUUGUUGCUUAUGAUAUGAUCUUUCUAAUUUUAAAGCCAAAUUAGACUUUUGACCCCAAUUUCACGGUCCACUGAACAUAGAAAAUGAAAGUGUGAGUUUCAGGUUAAAGUUUUUGGUCAAGGUAGUUUUUGAUGAAGCUGAAGUCCAAUCAACUUGAAACUUAGUACACUUGUUGCUUAUGAUAUGAUCUUUUUAAUUUUAAAGCCAAAUUAGUAUUUUGAUCCCAAUUUCACGGUCCACUGAACAUAAUAAAUGAAAGUGGGAGUUUCAGGUUAAAGUUUUUGGUCAAGGUAGUUUUUGAUGAAGUUGAAGUCCAAUCAACUUGAAACUUAGUACACAUGUUCCAUAUGAUAUGAUCUUUAUAAUUUUAAUGCCAAAUUAGAUUUUUUUACCCAAUUUCACGGUCCAUUGAACAUGAAAAAUGAUAGUGCGAGUGGGGCAUCCGUGUACUUUGGACACAUUCUUGUUUUUUUAUUAGAAUAAACAAGAUUUAUCUUAAAAUUACAAAAAUUAAAAUCACAUUUUAGUCUUAAAUGACUAAAUUGCAAUAAUAAUAGCUCGCAAUAAUUUCUGAAUUUACAGCAUUCUUUAAUUGUGAAAAUUACAUAACUUGUGUUUGAAUAUUUAAAAGUAUAUAUAAGUUGUACCAAUCACGUUGUGUCAUGAUACCACAGGUUACUAACAGUAGCAUUGAGACACGAUUUAUUAAAAACUUAAAUAAAAAAAAGUGAGCAUUUAUAUUAUGUAUAUAGACUAAAUAUCACUUUUUAUAAAUUUGAGCAUUGUUACUGAAUGAAUUGAUUUGAUAUCUUAAAACUAUGUUAAAAAUAACAUGUUUUAAAUGCGAAAUAAAUUGUAAAUGUAAAGAAAUUAAACUAUAUUUUCUCUUAAUUACCAUAGUUCUAAGUUAGCUCUUGUUGCACAAAUAAUCUUCAGGUCUGUCAUUGUCUGUUAUCAUUGUUAUUUUACAAGGGUUGGCUAUAUAGCAGAGUGUAAACAAGACGAGGACUAUCAAUAAUCUUUAGAGUUUGAUUUUGUUCAAUGAAUCUAUCCAGAUUUUUU
This 3072-nucleotide long non-coding RNA is filed under the name Mytilus galloprovincialis (Mediterranean mussel). Lineage: Eukaryota; Metazoa; Mollusca; Bivalvia; Mytilida; Mytilidae. The record is from RNAcentral.